RNAcentral lists this microRNA precursor (91 nucleotides) under Canis lupus dingo (dingo). RNAcentral describes it as "mir-8799 microRNA precursor family". It matches the Rfam family "mir-8799 microRNA precursor family". The record is from Rfam by way of RNAcentral. Lineage: Eukaryota; Metazoa; Chordata; Mammalia; Carnivora; Canidae.
GGGGGGAGCGCCGGAUCCUGCCUGUGUCCAUGGCGCCCUGUGCUCCUGGGCCUGUGCUAUUGGAAUCGUGCUCCCCGCCACGCAGCCCCUU